Pseudonaja textilis is the source of this 153-nucleotide non-coding RNA. The record is from RefSeq and is a predicted model, not a curated record. NCBI's taxonomy places the organism in Eukaryota, Metazoa, Chordata, Lepidosauria, Squamata, Elapidae.
UUGCAAAUGAUAUUUGAGAGGCUUCAGUGCAAGGACUGUGGCAGUUACUCACCUGUGUGUGGCAACUCUCUGGACGGGCCUCGCGCAUACAUACAAUAUUUAAAAAACAAAAGGAACCGUUUCCUGAACAAUAAAGUGAGGUGCCGACACCCG